Molecule: long non-coding RNA, 831 nt
Filed under: Sorghum bicolor (sorghum)
Lineage: Eukaryota; Viridiplantae; Streptophyta; Magnoliopsida; Poales; Poaceae
Description: long non-coding RNA (SBIC_LNC004461)
Source: RNAcentral
GACUAUUUUAAUUUGAAGGUUUACUCUAAAUCUGUAACUUGUGGAGGCAUAAGUUUGAGCUAAGUCUAGGUAGUUGGUUGAUAUGAUCAUUGAAAGUCUGAGCUGCUAUUUAUCUUAUUCCUAGCAUUACUAAGUUCUGGAGAUUUAUUUUGAAACCUGAAAUUUACAUUAUGAGCUCUUGUAUGACAAGUUUGAAUUCCUACCAAAGCCAUACAUAAUAUACAUUUAGAGUUAGGAAAACUUUUGCACAUUUAUGCUGCUUGUUUUGCAUUGAGUUCAGUCAACCUUUGUAGUAUACCUUACGAGUCUUGUCAUGCUUUUAAAACCAAGAUCACGUACACACUUCAGUUCACAUAUGCAUUAUUCCUACACUAGAAGUAAACACCAACAUAAACCAUACCCAUAUGAUAAAGCCCAUCAUAAAUGCCCUAAGUUCUUAUUAUUACCUCUCUGAUCAUUUAUUGUAUUCAAAGGAUACAUGUGGCUAUGCAAAAAUAUAAAAGAAAAAAAGGGAGUAAAAGAUGGAAAAGUGUCCCAGUAAUUAAAACAAUGGGUACUAAUGCCCGCCUCCUUGAAUAAAAAAUUAUAAAUAAUAAAGAUAGCCCAUGUCUUUCCCAAAAAGUUUCAAUAGAGAGUUAUUCCCAAAGAAAUAGAAAUUAGCCACAAAUACCACAAAUGCACCCAUCCACCAUAUUCCAUACACAUGUACAUCUUGGUUUGAUUGUAUGCCUCGAUUCUCUAUGGAUCCAUGUCUAUCCUUGUUAUUGGCACUCCAAUAAGCUCUACCAUAUAUACCUUUAGCUAUAGGAGGCAUAACAUCAUUAAUGCCAC